RNAcentral lists this ribosomal RNA (760 nucleotides) under uncultured Eikenella sp. Its description in RNAcentral is "bacterial SSU rRNA". It matches the Rfam family "Bacterial small subunit ribosomal RNA", at positions 28 to 776 of the family's 1533-position model. The record is from RNAcentral. Lineage: Bacteria; Pseudomonadati; Pseudomonadota; Betaproteobacteria; Neisseriales; Neisseriaceae.
AUUGAACGCUGGCGGCAUGCUUUACACAUGCAAGUCGAACGGCAGCGGGGUAGUGCUUGCACUACUGUCCGGCGAGUGGCGAACGGGUGAGUAAUAUAUCGGAACGUACCGAGUAAUGGGGGAUAACCAAUCGAAAGAUUGGCUAAUACCGCAUACGUCCUACGGGAGAAAGCGGGGGAUCGCAAGACCUCGCGUUAUUCGAGCGGCCGAUAACUGAUUAGCUAGUUGGUGGGGUAAAGGCCUACCAAGGCGACGAUCAGUAGCGGGUCUGAGAGGACGAUCCGCCACACUGGGACUGAGACACGGCCCAGACUCCUACGGGAGGCAGCAGUGGGGAAUUUUGGACAAUGGGGGCAACCCUGAUCCAGCCAUGCCGCGUGUAUGAAGAAGGCCUUCGGGUUGUAAAGUACUUUUGUUAGGGAAGAAAAGGGAAGUGCUAAUACCACUUUUUGCUGACGGUACCUAAAGAAUAAGCACCGGCUAACUACGUGCCAGCAGCCGCGGUAAUACGUAGGGUGCGAGCGUUAAUCGGAAUUACUGGGCGUAAAGCGAGCGCAGACGGUUAUUUAAGCAGGAUGUGAAAUCCCCGGGCUUAACCUGGGAACUGCGUUCUGAACUGGAUAGCUAGAGUGUGUCAGAGGGGGGUAGAAUUCCACGUGUAGCAGUGAAAUGCGUAGAGAUGUGGAGGAAUACCGAUGGCGAAGGCAGCCCCCUGGGAUAACACUGACAUUCAUGCUCGAAAGCGUGGGUAGCAAACAGG